Molecule: long non-coding RNA, 895 nt
Filed under: Mus musculus (house mouse)
Lineage: Eukaryota; Metazoa; Chordata; Mammalia; Rodentia; Muridae
Description: RIKEN cDNA 1700023F02 gene, transcript variant 8 (1700023F02Rik)
Source: RNAcentral
AGCACAUCCUUUGUACUCAUUUAGAAACGUAACUCUGAAUUUCUCUGUCUCUGCAAAGGGGUAAUUCCUGGGUGUUCUUCAGUGGUGAGUGAAGGCAUUUUUGCACAUGCUAUCGGAUGAACUGAGUCUAGAAUUUUGGUGAGACAUAUUUGAUACCGAAAAAAGUGAACCCCAGGAGAGGGCUCCAAGCUUCAGCUCUUGUCUGAGACUGUCCUGCACUGUGGCUGUAUGAUUACCAUAGCCCUUGACUUCUGAAUGGCAAAUGGCACCUGAAAGAGAAAUCACUAAGUCACAGGGUCGGCUCCAUCCUACUCCUCUAUACUAUACAGAUGUCAGUCACCUUUUGUCCGUGACCUUGUGCCUCAGAUGGAGCUUUAAACGUCGUUGACUUUCUGCUUGCUUCUCUGCUUACUGAGAGAAUGUUGACUCUUCAGCCUUCUGCAGUGUUUGCCCCAAAACUGAUUGCUGGAUUCCUCACCUGUGGUAUAUGCUGGGUUACUCUGUUCUGAGUUCACUCUCUUAGUUGGAACAGAUUGUCUUUAUUAUUCUGAAUGAGUAUAAAUUUUCCACAGGUGACCUUCCUGCUUCCUGCUUCCUGCUUCCUGCUUCCUGCUUCCUGCUUCCUGCUUCCUGCUUCCUGCUUCCUGCUUCAGACUGCAGAUAAAGCCACAAUGUAAGGUUCCAGGUGGCCACACUUAUUUGGAGACACCAUUUAACACGGUUCUGCUUCUACUUCCAUGAGAACCUAGUGAAGAAGACACAGCCAGAGCUUUGAUCAAAGAUUCCAAAUGCAAAUACAACUAACCACCCAACUGGUCCCAUCAGCCAAUGUAUCUCUUUGUUACCUCAAGGGAGAUUGAUUUACGCUUUCAUCAAUAAAUCUUCAUAUUUUCAA